UGAGUAACACGUGAGCAACCUGCCCCUGACUCUGGGAUAAGCGCUGGAAACGGCGUCUAAUACUGGAUACGAGGAGCGACCGCAUGGUCAGCUUCUGGAAAGAUUUUUUGGUUGGGGAUGGGCUCGCGGCCUAUCAGCUUGUUGGUGAGGUAAUGGCUCACCAAGGCGUCGACGGGUAGCCGGCCUGAGAGGGUGACCGGCCACACUGGGACUGAGACACGGCCCAGACUCCUACGGGAGGCAGCAGUGGGGAAUAUUGCACAAUGGGCGCAAGCCUGAUGCAGCAACGCCGCGUGAGGGAUGACGGCCUUCGGGUUGUAAACCUCUUUUAGCAGGGAAGAAGCGAAAGUGACGGUACCUGCAGAAAAAGCGCCGGCUAACUACGUGCCAGCAGCCGCGGUAAUACGUAGGGCGCAAGCGUUAUCCGGAAUUAUUGGGCGUAAAGAGCUCGUAGGCGGUUUGUCGCGUCUGCUGUGAAAUCCCGAGGCUCAACCUCGGACCUGCAGUGGGUACGGGCAGACUAGAGUGCGGUAGGGGAGAUUGGAAUUCCUGGUGUAGCGGUGGAAUGCGCAGAUAUCAGGAGGAACACCGAUGGCGAAGGCAGAUCUCUGGGCCGUAACUGACGCUGAGGAGCGAAAGGGUGGGGAGCAAACAGGCUUAGAUA
This 664-nucleotide ribosomal RNA is filed under the name Microbacterium sp. Its description in RNAcentral is "bacterial SSU rRNA". It matches the Rfam family "Bacterial small subunit ribosomal RNA", at positions 107 to 784 of the family's 1533-position model. Lineage: Bacteria; Bacillati; Actinomycetota; Actinomycetes; Micrococcales; Microbacteriaceae. The record is from RNAcentral.